Molecule: transfer RNA, 72 nt
Filed under: Schistocephalus solidus
Lineage: Eukaryota; Metazoa; Platyhelminthes; Cestoda; Diphyllobothriidea; Diphyllobothriidae
Rfam family: tRNA
About the family: Transfer RNA (tRNA) molecules are approximately 80 nucleotides in length. Their secondary structure includes four short double-helical elements and three loops (D, anti-codon, and T loops).
Source: Rfam by way of RNAcentral
GGGCCCGUGGCUCAAUGGUAGAGCGUUCGUCUCAAAUACCAAAGGUCGCGGGUUCAAAUCCCAGGUGUUCCA